Molecule: ribosomal RNA, 445 nt
Filed under: uncultured bacterium
Lineage: Bacteria
Description: bacterial SSU rRNA
Rfam family: Bacterial small subunit ribosomal RNA
Source: RNAcentral
CCAGACUCCUACGGGAGGCAGCAGUGGGGGAUAUUGCACAAUGGGGGGAACCCUGAUGCAGCGACGCCGCGUGGGUGAAGAAGCGCCUCGGCGCGUAAAGCCCUGUCAGCAGGGAAGAAAAUGACGGUACCUGAAGAAGAAGCCCCGGCUAACUACGUGCCAGCAGCCGCGGUAAUACGUAGGGGGCAAGCGUUAUCCGGAUUCACUGGGUGUAAAGGGAGCGUAGACGGCCAUGCAAGCCAGGGGUGAAAGCCCGGGGCCCAACCCCGGGACUGCCCUUGGAACUGUGCGGCUAGAGUGCGGGAGGGGCAGGCGGAAUUCCUGGUGUAGCGGUGAAAUGCGUAGAUAUCAGGAGGAACACCGGCGGCGAAGGCGGCUUACUGGACUGUAACUGACGUUGAGGCUCGAAAGCGUGGGGAGCAAACAGGAUUAGAUACCCUAGUAC